Molecule: ribosomal RNA, 485 nt
Filed under: uncultured bacterium
Lineage: Bacteria
Description: bacterial SSU rRNA
Rfam family: Bacterial small subunit ribosomal RNA
Source: RNAcentral
UGGGUUGUAAACUUCUUUUAUAUGGGAAUAAAGUGAGCCACGUGUGGCUUUUUGUAUGUACCAUACGAAUAAGGAUCGGCUAACUCCGUGCCAGCAGCCGCGGUAAUACGGAGGAUCCGAGCGUUAUCCGGAUUUAUUGGGUUUAAAGGGAGCGUAGGCGGACUAUUAAGUCAGCUGUGAAAGUUUGCGGCUCAACCGUAAAAUUGCAGUUGAUACUGGUCGUCUUGAGUGCAGUAGAGGUAGGCGGAAUUCGUGGUGUAGCGGUGAAAUGCUUAGAUAUCACGAAGAACUCCGAUUGCGAAGGCAGCUUACUGGACUGUAACUGACGCUGAUGCUCGAAAGUGUGGGUAUCAAACAGGAUUAGAUACCCUGGUAGUCCACACAGUAAACGAUGAAUACUCGCUGUUUGCGAUAUACGGCAAGCGGCCAAGCGAAAGCAUUAAGUAUUCCACCUGGGGAGUACGCCGGCAACGGUGAAACUCAAG